RNAcentral lists this ribosomal RNA (626 nucleotides) under Orbilia decipiens. RNAcentral's name for it is "eukaryotic LSU rRNA". It matches the Rfam family "Eukaryotic large subunit ribosomal RNA", at positions 23 to 664 of the family's 3401-position model. Lineage: Eukaryota; Fungi; Ascomycota; Orbiliomycetes; Orbiliales; Orbiliaceae. The record is from RNAcentral.
ACCCGCUGAACUUAAGCAUAUCAAUAAGCGGAGGAAAAGAAACCAACAGGGAUUGCCUCAGUAACGGCGAGUGAAGCGGCAACAGCUCAAAUUUGAAAUCUGGAGUCUUCGACUUCCGAGUUGUAAUUUGAAGAGGAUGCUUCGGUUGUGGCCUGGGCCUAAGUUCCUUGGAACAGGACGUCGUAGAGGGUGAGAAUCCCGUACACGGCUACCGGCUUACUUCCAUGUGUAGCUCCUUCGAAGAGUCGAGUUGUUUGGGAAUGCAGCUCAAAAUGGGUGGUAAAUUUCAUCUAAAGCUAAAUAUUGGCGAGAGACCGAUAGCGCACAAGUAGAGUGAUCGAAAGAUGAAAAGCACUUUGAAAAGAGAGUUAAACAGUACGUGAAAUUGUUGAAAGGGAAGCGUUUGCAAUCAGACUUGCUUUCGGUUGAUCAACGUUCCUUCUGGUUCGUGCACUCUGCCGUUCGCAGGCCAGCAUCAGUUAGAGCGGUGGGACAAAGGCUCCGGGAAUGUGGCUCCUCUCGGGGAGUGUUAUACCCGGUGCGUAAUGCCACCUGUUCUGAUUGAGGUCCGCGCUUUUUGCUAAGAUGCUGGCUUAAUGGUUGUAACAACCCGUCUUGAAACACGG